This 58-nucleotide transfer RNA is filed under the name Bos taurus (domestic cattle). It matches the Rfam family "tRNA", at positions 8 to 63 of the family's 71-position model. From Rfam's summary of the family: Transfer RNA (tRNA) molecules are approximately 80 nucleotides in length. Their secondary structure includes four short double-helical elements and three loops (D, anti-codon, and T loops). Further hydrogen bonds mediate the characteristic L-shaped molecular structure. tRNAs have two regions of fundamental functional importance: the anti-codon, which is responsible for specific mRNA codon recognition, and the 3' end, to which the tRNAs corresponding amino acid is attached (by aminoacyl-tRNA synthetases). tRNAs cope with the degeneracy of the genetic code in two manners: having more than one tRNA (with a specific anti-codon) for a particular amino acid; and 'wobble' base-pairing, i.e. permitting non-standard base-pairing at the 3rd anti-codon position. The record is from Rfam by way of RNAcentral. Lineage: Eukaryota; Metazoa; Chordata; Mammalia; Artiodactyla; Bovidae. RNAcentral also lists the same sequence under 5 other names.
UAGCUCAGAUGGUAAAAGAAUCUGCCUGCAAUGCAGCAAACCCAGGUUCGAUUCCUGG